Hydra vulgaris (swiftwater hydra) is the source of this 392-nucleotide non-coding RNA. NCBI's taxonomy places the organism in Eukaryota, Metazoa, Cnidaria, Hydrozoa, Anthoathecata, Hydridae. The record is from RefSeq and is a predicted model, not a curated record.
UUGGAUAUAUUGUGGAGGUAAUAUUAUUCAAAGUAUCUAUAACUGGGAUCAGAGUUAAUUGUAUGAUUAACGGGCAAGAGAAGAAUACUUUUCGCUGGCCAGUUACUACCGAGGAGAUAAAUAACCAAACUGAUAAAAUUAUCUGUUUAGUAAAUGCUCCUUUUCUAAUCAGUGGUUGUGGCGAUUAUUCAUUAUCCGAAGAAGACUAUAAUACAGUCAUAUCAUUAUUCUUAGAGAAACUUACUGCAGCAGAGUAGAAAUUAUGUGUGAUAUGGUGGAUAAUGUGUGUAAAUGACUCUAUUAAUAAAUGAAAAACUAAUUUUUAAAUGGAAAAACAUUUAAAUGUUUGAUUUAUGUUUUAUUUAAUUAGCAAUAUAGUUAUCUUGAUGUUA